Molecule: long non-coding RNA, 630 nt
Organism: Bos taurus (domestic cattle)
Lineage: Eukaryota; Metazoa; Chordata; Mammalia; Artiodactyla; Bovidae
Source: Ensembl
AUUGGGAACUCCAUCUGCUUGGUUCUGAAUCUGUUUUUUGGUUGUGACCUGGUGUUCUGUCUUAUGACAGUCUUACUUGGAACCCAGUUGCCAUGAUGUGAGAAAGCCCAAGCUGCAGGAAGAUGUCAUGUGGAGUUGUUCCAAUCAACUGUCCCUCGUGAGUCCAGCCUUUGAGUCAUCCAGCCCCAGUGCCAGACAGGAGUCAUGUCUGGAUGUGAGAGUUGGACUAUAAAGAAAGCUGAGCGCCGAAGAAUUGAUGCUUUUGAACUGUGGUGUUGGAGAAGACUCUUAAGAGUCCUUUGGACUGCAAGGAGAUCCAGUCAGUCCUUCCUAAAGGAAAUCAGUCCUGAAUAUUCAUUGGGAGGAUUGAUGCUAAAGCUGAAGCUCUAAUACUUGGGCCAUCUGAUGCGAAGUACUGACUCAUUGGAAAAGAUCCUGAUGCUGGGAAAGAUUGAGAGCAGGAGGAGAAGGGAGUGACAGAGGAUGAGAUAGUUGGAUGGCAUCACUGACUCGACGGACAUGAGUUUGAGUAAGCUUCAGGAGUCGGUGAUGGACAGGGAAGACUGGUGUGCUGUAGUCCACGGGGUCGCCAAGAGUCGGACACAACUGAGCGACUGAACUGAACUGGAC